RNAcentral lists this unclassified non-coding RNA (210 nucleotides) under plant metagenome. Its description in RNAcentral is "partial contains small subunit ribosomal RNA, internal transcribed spacer 1, and 5.8S ribosomal RNA". The record is from RNAcentral.
UCUCCGUUGGUGAACCAGCGGAGGGAUCAUUACUGGAAUCGCAAGAUCCCACAACCCCUGUGAACCUACCGAAACGUUGCCUCGGCGGGCGCCCGGCCCUGCGCCGGGCGCUGAGCCCGCCGGCGGCCCCCUACUCUUGUCUCUGCAGCGUGUUAUCUCAGAGUCCCAGAAAACAAGUAAAAACUUUCAACAACGGAUCUCUUGGCUCUA